RNAcentral lists this ribosomal RNA (567 nucleotides) under Salmonella enterica subsp. enterica serovar Braenderup. RNAcentral's name for it is "partial 23S ribosomal RNA". It matches the Rfam family "Bacterial large subunit ribosomal RNA", at positions 1 to 598 of the family's 2925-position model. Lineage: Bacteria; Pseudomonadati; Pseudomonadota; Gammaproteobacteria; Enterobacterales; Enterobacteriaceae. The record is from RNAcentral.
GGGUUGUGAGGUUAAGCGACUAAGCGUACACGGUGGAUGCCCUGGCAGUCAGAGGCGAUGAAGGGCGUGCUAAUCUGCGAUAAGCGCCGGUAAGGUGAUAUGAACCGUUAUAACCGGCGAUACCCGAAUGGGGAAACCCAGUGUGAUUCGUCACACUAUCAUUAACUGAAUCCAUAGGUUAAUGAGGCGAACCGGGGGAACUGAAACAUCUAAGUACCCCGAGGAAAAGAAAUCAACCGAGAUUCCCCCAGUAGCGGCGAGCGAACGGGGAGGAGCCCAGAGCCUGAAUCAGCAUGUGUGUUAGUGGAAGCGUCUGGAAAGGCGCGCGAUACAGGGUGACAGCCCCGUACACAAAAGCGCAUGUGCUGUGAGCUCGAUGAGUAGGGCGGGACACGUGGUAUCCUGUCUGAAUAUGGGGGGACCAUCCUCCAAGGCUAAAUACUCCUGACUGACCGAUAGUGAACCAGUACCGUGAGGGAAAGGCGAAAAGAACCCCGGCGAGGGGAGUGAAAAAGAACCUGAAACCGUGUACGUACAAGCAGUGGGAGCACCCUUUUGGGUGUGACU